This 433-nucleotide ribosomal RNA is filed under the name uncultured bacterium. Its description in RNAcentral is "partial 16S ribosomal RNA". It matches the Rfam family "Bacterial small subunit ribosomal RNA", at positions 29 to 507 of the family's 1533-position model. The record is from RNAcentral.
AAUGAACGCUGGCGGCAUGCCUAACACAUGCAAGUCGAACGACACCUCCGGGUCUAGUGGCGCACGGGUGUGUAACGUGUCGGAACCUUCCCUUAUGUUUCGAAUAACUCUCCGACGUGGGUGCUAAUACCGGAUAAUUUCUUCUAACCAAACAUUUAUCGCCUUUGGAUGGGCCGGCGUUGGAUUAGCUUGUUGUGAGGGUAAAAGCCUACCACGGCGAGGCUACAUAGCUGGGAAGAGAGGAUGAUCAGCCACACUGCGAGUCUGACCCGGCCGAGAAUACUACGCGAGGGGGCAGUGGGGAAUAUAGGACAAUGGGCGAAAGGAUGAACGAGCAAUGCCGGGUAAGUGAUGAAGGCAGGAAAGUAGUAAAGCGCUUUUACCCGGGAUGAUAAUGACAGUACCGGAAGAAUAAGCUCCGGCUAACUCCGUG